CGGGUGGUAAUGCCGGAUGCUCCGACUCCUCGCAUGGGGUGUCGGGAAAGAUUUCAUCGGUAUGGGAUGGGGUCGCGUCCUAUCAGGUAGUCGGCGGGGUAACGGCCCACCGAGCCUACGACGGGUAGCCGGCCUGAGAGGGCGACCGGCCACAUUGGGACUGAGAUACGGCCCAGACUCCUACGGGAGGCAGCAGUGGGGAAUAUUGCACAAUGGGCGCAAGCCUGAUGCAGCGACGCCGCGUGCGGGAUGACGGCCUUCGGGUUGUAAACCGCUUUUGAUCGGGAGCAAGCCUUCGGGUGAGUGUACCUUUCGAAUAAGCACCGGCUAACUACGUGCCAGCAGCCGCGGUAAUACGUAGGGUGCAAGCGUUAUCCGGAAUUAUUGGGCGUAAAGGGCUCGUAGGCGGUUCGUCGCGUCCGGUGUGAAAGUCCAUCGCUUAACGGUGGAUCUGCGCCGGGUACGGGCGGGCUGGAGUGCGGUAGGGGAGACUGGAAUUCCCGGUGUAACGGUGGAAUGUGUAGAUAUCGGAAAAAAAACA
This 541-nucleotide ribosomal RNA is filed under the name Bifidobacterium pseudocatenulatum. RNAcentral's name for it is "bacterial SSU rRNA". It matches the Rfam family "Bacterial small subunit ribosomal RNA", at positions 157 to 710 of the family's 1533-position model. Lineage: Bacteria; Bacillati; Actinomycetota; Actinomycetes; Bifidobacteriales; Bifidobacteriaceae. The record is from RNAcentral.